This 518-nucleotide ribosomal RNA is filed under the name uncultured bacterium. RNAcentral describes it as "bacterial SSU rRNA". It matches the Rfam family "Bacterial small subunit ribosomal RNA", at positions 8 to 518 of the family's 1533-position model. The record is from RNAcentral.
AGAAUUUGAUCUUGGUUCAGGAUGAACGCUAGCGGCAGGCUUAACACAUGCAAGUCGAGGGGCAGCGGGAUGUAGCAAUACAUUGCCGGCGACCGGCGGAUGGGUGCGUAACGCGUAUGCAACCUACCUUAUACAGGGGAAUAACCUUUCGAAAGGGAGACUAACACCCCAUAGUAUUGAUUUAAGGCAUCUUAGAUUAAUUAAAUAUUUAUAGGUAUAAGAUGGGCAUGCGUAUGAUUAGCUAGUUGGUAAGGUAACGGCUUACCAAGGCGACGAUCAUUAGGGGUUCUGAGAGGAAGGUCCCCCACACUGGUACUGAGACACGGACCAGACUCCUACGGGAGGCAGCAGUGAGGAAUAUUGGUCAAUGGGCGCAAGCCUGAACCAGCCAUGCCGCGUGCCAGGAAGACGGCCUUAUGGGUUGUAAACUGCUUUUACAUAAGACUAACCGUAUAUUUGCGAAUAUACCUGAAUGUAUUAUGAGAAUAAGGAUCGGCUAACUCCGUGCCAGCAGCGGC